Long non-coding RNA from Pecten maximus, 171 nucleotides. RefSeq lists it as uncharacterized. The record is from RefSeq and is a predicted model, not a curated record. The transcript has 2 exons. NCBI's taxonomy places the organism in Eukaryota, Metazoa, Mollusca, Bivalvia, Pectinida, Pectinidae.
GGUUCUAAUGCUUCUCUGCUUCUCGGACUUCUCCGAUCACAGGCUAGAAGAGACUGAUAUGGCAAUUUAACGAACUCUGAUCAGUGUUUCAAUUUGUAACACACGAAAGCAGAUGUAACCAGCUACUUCUCCUUGAAAUGGAGAAGCUUAAACUGCGGUUCCACAAUUACC